This 248-nucleotide ribosomal RNA is filed under the name uncultured bacterium. Its description in RNAcentral is "partial 16S ribosomal RNA". It matches the Rfam family "Bacterial small subunit ribosomal RNA", at positions 796 to 1041 of the family's 1533-position model. The record is from RNAcentral.
CAAGCCGUAAACGAUGCCGACUAGGUGUUCACUACUCGAGAGAGUAGGGAGUGCCGAAGCCAACGCGAUAAGUCGGCCGCCUGGGGAGUACGGUCGCAAGGCUAAAACUCAAAGGAAUUGACGGGGGCCCGCACAAGCAGCGGAGCGUGUGGUUUAAUUCGAUGCUACGCGAAGAACCUUACCUAGGCUUGACAUACAGGUAGUAGGGAACUGAAAAGGGACCGACCUUCGGGAGCCUGUACAGGUGC